Molecule: transfer RNA, 83 nt
Filed under: Roseomonas sp.
Lineage: Bacteria; Pseudomonadati; Pseudomonadota; Alphaproteobacteria; Acetobacterales; Roseomonadaceae
Also listed under: 3 other names
Description: tRNA-Leu
Rfam family: tRNA
About the family: Transfer RNA (tRNA) molecules are approximately 80 nucleotides in length. Their secondary structure includes four short double-helical elements and three loops (D, anti-codon, and T loops).
Source: RNAcentral
GCCCGCCUGGCGGAAUGGUAGACGCAGCGGACUUAAAAUCCGCAGCCCGCAAGGGUGUGGGGGUUCGAGUCCCCCGGUGGGCA